This 112-nucleotide ribosomal RNA is filed under the name Caerostris darwini. Lineage: Eukaryota; Metazoa; Arthropoda; Arachnida; Araneae; Araneidae. The record is from RNAcentral.
AACGGCCGUACCAUGCUGAAUAUACCGGUUCUCGUUAGAUCACCGAAGUUAAGCAUCAUUGGGCGCGGUCAGUACUUGGGUGGGUGACCACUUGGGAACAUUGCGUGCCGUU